GGGUUGUGAGGUUAAGCGACUAAGCGUACACGGUGGAUGCCCUGGCAGUCAGAGGCGAUGAAGGACGUGCUAAUCUGCGAUAAGCGUCGGUAAGGUGAUAUGAACCGUUAUAACCGGCGAUUUCCGAAUGGGGAAACCCAGUGUGAUUCGUCACACUAUCAUUAACUGAAUCCAUAGGUUAAUGAGGCGAACCGGGGGAACUGAAACAUCUAAGUACCCCGAGGAAAAGAAAUCAACCGAGAUUCCCCCAGUAGCGGCGAGCGAACGGGGAGCAGCCCAGAGCCUGAAUCAGUGUGUGUGUUAGUGGAAGCGUCUGGAAAGGCGUGCGAUACAGGGUGACAGCCCCGUACACAAAAAUGCACAUACUGUGAGCUCGAUGAGUAGGGCGGGACACGUGGUAUCCUGUCUGAAUAUGGGGGGACCAUCCUCCAAGGCUAAAUACUCCUGACUGACCGAUAGUGAACCAGUACCGUGAGGGAAAGGCGAAAAGAACCCCGGCGAGGGGAGUGAAAAAGAACCUGAAACCGUGUACGUACAAGCAGUGGGAGCACGCUUAGGCGUGUGACUGCGUACCUUUUGUAUAAUGGGUCAGCGACUUAUAUUCUGUAGCAAGGUUAACCGAAUAGGGGAGCCGAAGGGAAACCGAGUCUUAACUGGGCGUUAAGUUGCAGGGUAUAGACCCGAAACCCGGUGAUCUAGCCAUGGGCAGGUUGAAGGUUGGGUAACACUAACUGGAGGACCGAACCGACUAAUGUUGAAAAAUUAGCGGAUGACUUGUGGCUGGGGGUGAAAGGCCAAUCAAACCGGGAGAUAGCUGGUUCUCCCCGAAAGCUAUUUAGGUAGCGCCUCGUGAAUUCAUCUCCGGGGGUAGAGCACUGUUUCGGCAAGGGGGUCAUCCCGACUUACCAACCCGAUGCAAACUGCGAAUACCGGAGAAUGUUAUCACGGGAGACACACGGCGGGUGCUAACGUCCGUCGUGAAGAGGGAAACAACCCAGACCGCCAGCUAAGGUCCCAAAGUCAUGGUUAAGUGGGAAACGAUGUGGGAAGGCCCAGACAGCCAGGAUGUUGGCUUAGAAGCAGCCAUCAUUUAAAGAAAGCGUAAUAGCUCACUGGUCGAGUCGGCCUGCGCGGAAGAUGUAACGGGGCUAAACCAUGCACCGAAGCUGCGGCAGCGACACUAUGUGUUGUUGGGUAGGGGAGCGUUCUGUAAGCCUGUGAAGGUGUACUGUGAGGUAUGCUGGAGGUAUCAGAAGUGCGAAUGCUGACAUAAGUAACGAUAAAGCGGGUGAAAAGCCCGCUCGCCGGAAGACCAAGGGUUCCUGUCCAACGUUAAUCGGGGCAGGGUGAGUCGACCCCUAAGGCGAGGCCGAAAGGCGUAGUCGAUGGGAAACAGGUUAAUAUUCCUGUACUUGGUGUUACUGCGAAGGGGGGACGGAGAAGGCUAUGUUGGCCGGGCGACGGUUGUCCCGGUUUAAGCGUGUAGGCUGGUUUUCCAGGCAAAUCCGGAAAAUCAAGGCUGAGGCGUGAUGACGAGGCACUACGGUGCUGAAGCAACAAAUGCCCUGCUUCCAGGAAAAGCCUCUAAGCAUCAGGUAACAUCAAAUCGUACCCCAAACCGACACAGGUGGUCAGGUAGAGAAUACCAAGGCGCUUGAGAGAACUCGGGUGAAGGAACUAGGCAAAAUGGUGCCGUAACUUCGGGAGAAGGCACGCUGAUAUGUAGGUGAAGCGACUUGCUCGUGGAGCUGAAAUCAGUCGAAGAUACCAGCUGGCUGCAACUGUUUAUUAAAAACACAGCACUGUGCAAACACGAAAGUGGACGUAUACGGUGUGACGCCUGCCCGGUGCCGGAAGGUUAAUUGAUGGGGUCAGCGCAAGCGAAGCUCUUGAUCGAAGCCCCGGUAAACGGCGGCCGUAACUAUAACGGUCCUAAGGUAGCGAAAUUCCUUGUCGGGUAAGUUCCGACCUGCACGAAUGGCGUAAUGAUGGCCAGGCUGUCUCCACCCGAGACUCAGUGAAAUUGAACUCGCUGUGAAGAUGCAGUGUACCCGCGGCAAGACGGAAAGACCCCGUGAACCUUUACUAUAGCUUGACACUGAACAUUGAGCCUUGAUGUGUAGGAUAGGUGGGAGGCUUUGAAGUGUGGACGCCAGUCUGCAUGGAGCCGACCUUGAAAUACCACCCUUUAAUGUUUGAUGUUCUAACGUUGACCCGUAAUCCGGGUUGCGGACAGUGUCUGGUGGGUAGUUUGACUGGGGCGGUCUCCUCCUAAAGAGUAACGGAGGAGCACGAAGGUUGGCUAAUCCUGGUCGGACAUCAGGAGGUUAGUGCAAUGGCAUAAGCCAGCUUGACUGCGAGCGUGACGGCGCGAGCAGGUGCGAAAGCAGGUCAUAGUGAUCCGGUGGUUCUGAAUGGAAGGGCCAUCGCUCAACGGAUAAAAGGUACUCCGGGGAUAACAGGCUGAUACCGCCCAAGAGUUCAUAUCGACGGCGGUGUUUGGCACCUCGAUGUCGGCUCAUCACAUCCUGGGGCUGAAGUAGGUCCCAAGGGUAUGGCUGUUCGCCAUUUAAAGUGGUACGCGAGCUGGGUUUAGAACGUCGUGAGACAGUUCGGUCCCUAUCUGCCGUGGGCGCUGGAGAACUGAGGGGGGCUGCUCCUAGUACGAGAGGACCGGAGUGGACGCAUCACUGGUGUUCGGGUUGUCAUGCCAAUGGCACUGCCCGGUAGCUAAAUGCGGAAGAGAUAAGUGCUGAAAGCAUCUAAGCACGAAACUUGCCCCGAGAUGAGUUCUCCCUGACUCCUUGAGAGUCCUGAAGGAACGUUGAAGACGACGACGUUGAUAGGCCGGGUGUGUAAGCGCAGCGAUGCGUUGAGCUAACCGGUACUAAUGAACCGUGAGGCUUAACCUUACAACGCCGAAG
RNAcentral lists this ribosomal RNA (2924 nucleotides) under Escherichia coli. RNAcentral's name for it is "23S ribosomal RNA". It matches the Rfam family "Bacterial large subunit ribosomal RNA". The record is from RNAcentral. Lineage: Bacteria; Pseudomonadati; Pseudomonadota; Gammaproteobacteria; Enterobacterales; Enterobacteriaceae.